UGGGGAAUAUUGGACAAUGGGCGAAAGCCUGAUCCAGUCAUGCCGCGUGAGUGAUGAAGGCCCUAGGGUUGUAAAGCUCUUUCGCCAGGGACGAUAAUGACGGUACCUGGAUAAGAAGCCCCGGCUAACUUCGUGCCAGCAGCCGCGGUAAUACGAAGGGGGCUAGCGUUGUUCGGAUUUACUGGGCGUAAAGCGCACGUAGGCGGAUUUUUAAGUCAGGGGUGAAAUCCCAAGGCUCAACCUUGGAACUGCCUUUGAUACUGGAAGUCUCGAGUCCGGGAGAGGUGAGUGGAACUGCGAGUGUAGAGGUGAAAUUCGUAGAUAUUCGCAAGAACACCAGUGGCGAAGGCGGCUCACUGGCCCGGUACUGACGCUGAGGUGCGAAAGCGUGGGGAGCAAACA
This 402-nucleotide ribosomal RNA is filed under the name uncultured prokaryote. RNAcentral's name for it is "bacterial SSU rRNA". It matches the Rfam family "Bacterial small subunit ribosomal RNA", at positions 355 to 774 of the family's 1533-position model. The record is from RNAcentral.